UAGUCCACGCCGUAAACGAUGGAUACUAGUUGUCGGGAGCUUGCUCUCGGUGACGGAGCUAACGUAUUAAGUAUCCCGCCUGGGGAGUACGAUCGCAAGGUUGAAACUCAAAGGAAUUGACGGGGGCCCGCACAAGCGGUGGGAGCAUGUGGUUUAAUUCGAUGCAACGCGAAGAACCUUACCUGGGCUUAAACUGUUGUGGAUCGCAUCAGAGAUGAUGUUUUCCUUCGGGACUGCAAUAGAGGUGCUGCAUGGCUGUCGUCAGCUCGUGUCGUGAGAUGUUCGGUUAAGUCCGGCAACGAGCGCAACCCCUAUCUUUAGUUGCCAGCACGUUAUGGUGGGAACUCUAAAGAGACUGCCUGGGUCAACCAGGAGGAAGGUGGGGAUGACGUCAAGUCCUCAUGGCCCUUACGUCCAGGGCUACACACGUGCUACAAUGGUCGGUACAACGAGAAGCUAAACAGCGAUGUCAUGCAAAUCUCUUAAAACCGAUCUC
Molecule: ribosomal RNA, 496 nt
Filed under: uncultured bacterium
Lineage: Bacteria
Description: bacterial SSU rRNA
Rfam family: Bacterial small subunit ribosomal RNA
Source: RNAcentral